AGCCUACCUCCUAUUUAAAACAUCAGUAAAUAUUUGUCUGAGGAGCUAAUGGUCUCAAUCACUAGUUUCAGGUUUUCUUGAAUAGAAUAUAAUGUUUGGGUCACAAGUGGACACCAGUGUGAUGGAUUCCUAGUUGCAGGCUACGCCUCUGAACUUCCAGUUGCGAAAUGUUGCCAUGGUGCCAGAUCCUCUUCACGAGGGAUGCGUGGGUUCCUUUCACACACUGUUGUGGAGUGUGAUAAUGACGACUGAUCAUUGUGAUUGAUCACUGAGCAUGUUUACAGUUUAAUCUCCUGCACUUUGCAGCAGCGAUGACGAGCUGUUGCACGCAGCUGAAGGAUAAGGUUCUUCAGACUACAUCUACAGUACCUGCUGAAUAACUCUCUGGAUAUUUAGAGGAAGGGGAUCAGUAGAGGCUGAGGUCUACCCCACCAGGCAGGAUUCCAGGUGUAGGCUGUGUAAAGAUGCCCCUGAGACUGUGUGUGAAUCCUGGCUAAGAAGGCACACAUGGAACAGCACGACCAAGUGGCUGGAAUAGUUUACAGAAACAUCUGCACAGAGUAUGGACAAAGGUGGCUGACAGAAUGACAGAGCUAAGAUCCUAUGGGACAGAUCCGCAAGUCCCAUGGGAGAGUGGUCCCAAAAGAUUCCAAGAACGACAUCUGAGAUGCCUUUCCAGAAGAGAACAGUCCUGUAGGAACAGCUAAGAUACUGUGCAGAGCUCCCAGACCUCUGGUAGAGAACCCAGGCUUGGAUGAGACACCAAAUGGGUUCAACACAACAACGGCGUAUACUUAAAACAGUCUUGACUCUUGACCGGCCAACCACCUACAUCUCCUGCUGCUGAAAACGCUGGCAGAACUCCAGUUGCCAGGAGACCAGCGACACUUCUGGAAGAGUCCAUCUGGACUUGACGGGAGGUUAUCAACCCAAUGACUACGCUGAGCCCCGGCCGUGGUAGUAUACAGCCUGUCAGCUCUCGUCAACAAAGUGCCUAAGACAGUAAGAAAGGGUUGAUGCUGGAUUUCUUAAAGGGGCACAUCCAUGAGCUCAUCUUCAUCUUAAUAUUCGACGGGGAUCUGUAAACACUUGGCGUCGGUGAAGCUCACGGGCGUCGUCGUCUCGUUCGCGGACGUGCAGUUGUCAUCGCCAGAAAAGGUCAGUGAA
Solea solea (common sole) is the source of this 1167-nucleotide long non-coding RNA. RefSeq lists it as uncharacterized. The transcript has 4 exons. NCBI's taxonomy places the organism in Eukaryota, Metazoa, Chordata, Actinopteri, Pleuronectiformes, Soleidae. The record is from RefSeq and is a predicted model, not a curated record.